Molecule: ribosomal RNA, 424 nt
Filed under: Verrucomicrobiota bacterium
Lineage: Bacteria; Pseudomonadati; Verrucomicrobiota
Description: Verrucomicrobia bacterium partial 16S ribosomal RNA
Rfam family: Bacterial small subunit ribosomal RNA
Source: RNAcentral
UGAGGAAUAUUGGUCAAUGGGCGAGAGCCUGAACCAGCCAAGUAGCGUGCAGGACGACGGCCCUAUGGGUUGUAAACUGCUUUUAUGUGGGGAUAAAGUGCGUGACGUGUCAUGCAUUGCAGGUACCACAUGAAUAAGGACCGGCUAAUUCCGUGCCAGCAGCCGCGGUAAUACGGAAGGUCCGGGCGUUAUCCGGAUUUAUUGGGUUUAAAGGGAGCGUAGGCUGUCUAUUAAGCGUGUUGUGAAAUAUACCGGCUCAACCGGUGGCUUGCAGCGCGAACUGGUCGACUUGAGUAUGCAGUAAGUAGGCGGAAUUCAUGGUGUAGCGGUGAAAUGCUUAGAUAUCAUGACGAACUCCGAUUGCGCAGGCAGCUUACUGUAGCAUAACUGACGCUGAUGCUCGAAAGUGCGGGUAUCAAACAGG